Long non-coding RNA from Syngnathoides biaculeatus (alligator pipefish), 572 nucleotides. RefSeq lists it as uncharacterized. The record is from RefSeq and is a predicted model, not a curated record. NCBI's taxonomy places the organism in Eukaryota, Metazoa, Chordata, Actinopteri, Syngnathiformes, Syngnathidae. The transcript has 3 exons.
GGGCGCGCUCGCUCCAUCUUUCACAGAGUCUACCCGGAAACAAAACCUUGGCGACACCAAGGCCACCACGUUGACGCCAAGGAGUGCGCAGCAAUAAUGGAGCGCUGUAAUUACCGAGGAAUGUUAUCUUCCUGCCAGCUUCCUCUGUCUCUCCAGACCACGGGUUCUGCCACACAGCUGCUGACCUUUAUUGCUUUCUGGGCUCAGUCAUCUCGUAUGUGCUCAGAGCUGAUCUGCUGCUCCUCUGCAUGAGGAAGAGGAGGAUCAGGAUCCCCCAGGAAGAGCUGGAUGGAAUGGCUGCAGAUAGGGAAACCUUUCCAGCUGAACCACUGGGCAGCUGCAUUAACCGUUUGAUUUUUAUUUUUCAUCAUCAGUUGCAUUGGGAUUUCAUGUUCAGCACCACUAUUCUAAAUAAAUUUCCUUCACUUGCAUCACUGUCAUGUUCUGUGGCGUGUGAAAGUGAAAGCAAUUGGUUGUGAUGUUGCAUUUCCUUUGAUUUGUCUGCAGAGGGAACCAUUGAAUACAGGCAGGCACCACCCAAUUGUCAGUGGGAGAAAGCUAGAUACAGUAUA